Molecule: transfer RNA, 74 nt
Filed under: Bacteroidota bacterium
Lineage: Bacteria; Pseudomonadati; Bacteroidota
Also listed under: 3 other names
Description: tRNA-Asp
Rfam family: tRNA
About the family: Transfer RNA (tRNA) molecules are approximately 80 nucleotides in length.
Source: RNAcentral
GGAGCGGUAGUUCAGUUGGUUAGAAUGCCUGCCUGUCACGCAGGAGGUCGCGGGUUCGAGUCCCGUCCGCUCCG